Molecule: non-coding RNA, 43 nt
Organism: Cavia porcellus (domestic guinea pig)
Lineage: Eukaryota; Metazoa; Chordata; Mammalia; Rodentia; Caviidae
Source: Rfam
CCACAGCGGGGGGACCUGGGGUCAGCCCCAUGGAGGUAGCUGG